GAACGCGAAGAACCUUACCUACUCUUGACAUCCUAAGAAGAGCUCAGAGAUGAGCUUGUGCCUUCGGGAACUUAGAGACAGGUGCUGCAUGGCUGUCGUCAGCUCGUGUUGUGAAAUGUUGGGUUAAGUCCCGCAACGAGCGCAACCCUUAUCCUUUGUUGCCAUCAUUUAGUUGGGCACUCUAAUGAGACUGCCGGUGACAAGCCGGAGGAAGGUGGGGAUGACGUCAAGUCCUCAUGGCCCUUAUGACCAGGGCUUCACACGUCAUACAAUGGUCGGUACAGAGGGUAGCCAAGCCGCGAGGUGGAGCCAAUCUCACAAAACCGAUCGUAGUCCGGAUUGCACUCUGCAACUCGAGUGCAUGAAGUCGGAAUCGCUAGUAAUCGCAGGUCAGCAUACUGCGGUGAAUACGUUCCCGGGUCUUGUACACACC
RNAcentral lists this ribosomal RNA (433 nucleotides) under uncultured bacterium. Its description in RNAcentral is "bacterial SSU rRNA". It matches the Rfam family "Bacterial small subunit ribosomal RNA", at positions 957 to 1391 of the family's 1533-position model. The record is from RNAcentral.